UGAGAGAUUAUGGCAUUGUCCUCUUGCUGGGUGAAGAGAAUUCUCUAAAGGUUCUAAUUAACAGAGGUUUGAUGUACUUUGAGAGAAAAGAUUUUCAAAAUGCCAAAGAAGAUUUCACACAAGCCGUUAAGAUGGAACCAAGAAAUGUGACAAUAAGGC
Long non-coding RNA from Anneissia japonica, 159 nucleotides. RefSeq lists it as uncharacterized. The record is from RefSeq and is a predicted model, not a curated record. Lineage: Eukaryota; Metazoa; Echinodermata; Crinoidea; Comatulida; Comatulidae. The transcript is spliced from 3 exons.